UACAGAGGUCUCAAGCGUUGUUCGGAUUCAUUGGGCGUAAAGGGUGCGUAGGCGGCCUUCUAAGUCAGACGUGAAAUCCCCCGGCUUAACCUGGGAACUGCGUCUGAUACUGGGAGGCUUGAGUAUGGGAGAGGGAUGUAGAAUUCCAGGUGUAGCGGUGAAAUGCGUAGAUAUCUGGAGGAAUACCGGUGGCGAAGGCGGCAUCCUGGACCAUAACUGACGCUGAGGCGCGAAAGCUAGGGGAGCAAACGGG
This 253-nucleotide ribosomal RNA is filed under the name uncultured bacterium. Its description in RNAcentral is "partial 16S ribosomal RNA". It matches the Rfam family "Bacterial small subunit ribosomal RNA", at positions 524 to 776 of the family's 1533-position model. The record is from RNAcentral.